Long non-coding RNA from Myotis davidii, 648 nucleotides. RefSeq lists it as uncharacterized. NCBI's taxonomy places the organism in Eukaryota, Metazoa, Chordata, Mammalia, Chiroptera, Vespertilionidae. The record is from RefSeq and is a predicted model, not a curated record. The transcript has 2 exons.
UAAAUGUCUGAUUUUAAUAGCACAUAUUUCUCUUUUACAUAAACUGUGACAGCAACUUGCAUAAACAAUUCUUUAGCUGUUAAUUUUAAUGUUAAAACUUUGAAAAACUUGUUUAAUAAAAAUAGCUGUAAAAAGAAAAACCAUAUGCUGCCGCAUAAAUUAGCCAUAACUCUUAAUAAUCCUGCCCAUCACAAGUGAACUGUAAUGUAACCUGGGCACAAAGUCUGACAUCUUAAAUGACACAAUGUAAAAUUUCAAUGACUGUAGAUUAGAUAUGCUCCCCAAAGUAAAGCUUUCUGCUCAGCUAUUUUAAAAUGUACAAGGAUGAGCCCCCAUAGGUUCCCAUAUUGAUAUUCACAAUGAAAUGUUACUGAAAAUUUCCUUAAAGUUGCAUGUUUCUCUCCUGUAAUGUAUAAAUUGCAUGCAGGAUCUCUAUCUUUUAUUUUGUAUGUCUAAACCUUCCUCUUCAAAAGACUGAUCUCUUACUUCUCCAUUUUCAGGUCAUGGAAAACUCAAGACAUUUCCUGGAGUAGAAUGGGUAUUAAAGACCCAUGUCAGCUAUCAGACGACUCCAGAAACUGGGAGAGCUGCCUGCUGUCAAGGCUGGCCUGAGGGCAUUUGCUGAGCACAGAGAAACACCAGAGAGAU